Molecule: ribosomal RNA, 575 nt
Filed under: uncultured rumen bacterium
Lineage: Bacteria
Description: bacterial SSU rRNA
Rfam family: Bacterial small subunit ribosomal RNA
Source: RNAcentral
GGCAGCAGCUAAGAAUAUUCCGCAAUGCACGAAAGUGUGACGGAGCGACGCCGCGUGGACGAUGAAGGCCGGAAGGUUGUAAAGUCCUUUUUAAUAUGAGGAAUAAGCAGUGUGAGAGAAACGCACUGUGGUGACUGUAGUAUUAGAAUAAGGGGCGGCUAAUUACGUGCCAGCAGCCGCGGUAACACGUAAGCCCCGAGCGUUGUUCGGAAUUAUUGGGCGUAAAGGGCAUGUAGGCGGUUUUGCAAGUCUGGUGUGAAAGGCAGGAGCUCAACUCCUGGACUGCGCUGGAAACUGCAUGACUUGAGUUUCUGAGGGGCACUCGGAAUUCCUGGUGUAGGGGUGAAAUCUGUAGAUAUCAGGAAGAACACCGGUGGCGAAGGCGGGGUGCCAGCAGAAGACUGACGCUGAGGUGCGAAGGUGCGGGGAGCAAACAGGAUUAGAUACCCUGGUAGUCCGCACAGUCAACGAUGCACACUGGGUGUCCGCACAUAAGUGUGGGUGCCGAAGCAAACGCGAUAAGUGUGCCGCCUGGGGAGUAUGCCCGCAAGGGUGAAACUCAAAGGAAUUGACGG